RNAcentral lists this ribosomal RNA (253 nucleotides) under uncultured bacterium. RNAcentral's name for it is "partial 16S ribosomal RNA". It matches the Rfam family "Bacterial small subunit ribosomal RNA", at positions 524 to 776 of the family's 1533-position model. The record is from RNAcentral.
UACAGAGGGGGCAAGCGUUGUUCGGAAUUACUGGGCGUAAAGGGCGCGUAGGCGGCCUGCUAAGUCGAACGUGAAAUCCCCGAGCUCAACUCGGGAACUGCGUCCGAUACUGACAGGCUUGAAUCCGGGAGAGGGAUGCGGAAUUCCAGGUGUAGCGGUGAAAUGCGUAGAUAUCUGGAGGAGCACCGGUGGCGAAGGCGGCAUCCUGGACCGGCAUUGACGCUGAGGCGCGAAAGCCAGGGGAGCAAACGGG